Molecule: ribosomal RNA, 468 nt
Filed under: uncultured bacterium
Lineage: Bacteria
Description: partial 16S ribosomal RNA
Rfam family: Bacterial small subunit ribosomal RNA
Source: RNAcentral
GACGAACGCUGGCGGCGUGCUUAACACAUGCAAGUCGAACGGAAAGGCCCUGCUUUUGUGGGGUGCUCGAGUGGCGAACGGGUGAGUAACACGUGAGUAACCUGCCCAUGACUUUGGGAUAACUUCAGGAAACUGGGGCUAAUACCGGAUAGGAGCUCCUGCUGCAUGGUGGGGGUUGGAAAGUUUCGGCGGUUGGGGAUGGACUCGCGGCUUAUCAGCUUGUUGGUGGGGUAGUGGCUUACCAAGGCUUUGACGGGUAGCCGGCCUGAGAGGGUGACCGGCCACAUUGGGACUGGGAUACGGCCCAGACUCCUACGGGAGGCAGCAGUGGGGAAUAUUGCACAAUGGGCGGAAGCCUGAUGCAGCAACGCCGCGUGCGGGAUGACGGCCUUCGGGUUGUAAACCGCUUUCGCCUGUGACGAAGCGUGAGUGACGGUAAUGGGUAAAGAAGCACCGGCUAACUACGUG